GGUGUGAUGUAUGUGAUGGUACCAUCUUGUUAUCAUCAUCAAUGGGAAGUUUGCAAUCUGAUUAUAAGCAUGAAUGUUUGUUUGUCUAUUCUCAGUAAACGUUUUUGGCAGAAUUUGCUAGUAAAGGUGCCACUGAAUCUGAUAAACAUGACGUUCAUAUGCUCCAGUUCAGUUCAAUCUGCCCAUGCUCACCGGGUAUAAUUAGAGUCUUGUUUCCUAAUGCCUUUGCUCUCUGAAUUC
This 240-nucleotide long non-coding RNA is filed under the name Hordeum vulgare. Its description in RNAcentral is "long non-coding RNA (HVUL_LNC016923)". Lineage: Eukaryota; Viridiplantae; Streptophyta; Magnoliopsida; Poales; Poaceae. The record is from RNAcentral.